Aricia agestis (brown argus) is the source of this 85-nucleotide long non-coding RNA. RefSeq lists it as uncharacterized. The record is from RefSeq and is a predicted model, not a curated record. NCBI's taxonomy places the organism in Eukaryota, Metazoa, Arthropoda, Insecta, Lepidoptera, Lycaenidae. The transcript has 2 exons.
CGUGUCGGUCGUCCGUCCCAGUGGUUUACGAUAGUGAAGGAAGAGGGAGUGUUCUUGUGUACUGCGCACAUACUUGGGUACUAUA